UACGAAGGGGGCGAGCGUUGUUCGGAUUUACUGGGCGUAAAGGGCGCGCAGGCGGCUAUUUUUGUCAGGCGUGAAAGCCCCGGGCUUAACCUGGGAACUGCGCUUGAUACGGGAUGGCUAGAGAUCGGGAGAGGAGAGUGGAAUUCCCAGUGUAGAGGUGAAAUGCGUAGAUAUCGGGAGGAACACCUGUGGCGAAAGCGGCGCACUGGACCACUUCUGACGCUGAGGCGCGAAAGCUAGGGGAGCAAACAGG
RNAcentral lists this ribosomal RNA (253 nucleotides) under uncultured bacterium. RNAcentral describes it as "partial 16S ribosomal RNA". It matches the Rfam family "Bacterial small subunit ribosomal RNA", at positions 524 to 776 of the family's 1533-position model. The record is from RNAcentral.